GCCAAAGCUAGCCCAAACACCCAUAAACUCAACUACUACAAACCAAUAAAUUAAAACAUUUAGCUACCCCUUAAAAGUAUAGGAGAUAGAAAUUUAACUUGGCGCUAUAGAGAUAGUACCGUAAGGGAAAGAUGAAAGAAGAAUUAAAAGCAUGACACAGCAAAGAUUACCCCUUGUACCUUUUGCAUAAUGAAUUAGCUAGACAUAAUCUAACAAAGAGAACUUAAGCUAGACUCCCCGAAACCAGACGAGCUACCUACGAACAAUCUUUACAGGAUGAACUCGUCUAUGUUGCAAAAUAGUGAGAAGAUUCAUAGGUAGAGGUGAAAUGCCUAACGAGCCUGGUGAUAGCUGGUUACCCAGAACAGAAUUUUAGUUCAACUUUAAACNNNNNNNNNNNNNNNNNNNNNNNNNNNNNNNNNNNNNNNNNNNNCUAAAAAGGUACAGCUUUUUAGAACUAGGAUACAACCUUUCUUAGAGAGUAAGCAUUAAUAAAACCAUAGUUGGCCUAAAAGCAGCCACCAAUUAAGAAAGCGUUCAAGCUCAACAAUUACAACCACUUAAUACCAAAAAUUGUGCAACUAACUCCUAAUAUAAUACUGGGUCAAUCUAUUUAAUAAUAGAAGCAACAAUGCUAAUAUGAGUAACAAGAAGCAUUUCUCCUUGCAUAAGCUUAUAUCAGAACGGAUAACCACUGAUAGUUAACAACAAGAUAAUAACAACCCAACAAUAAACCAAAUAUCGAACUAAUUGUUAAUCCAACACAGGCAUGCAACUUAAGGAAAGAUUAAAAGAAGUAAAAGGAACUCGGCAAACACAAACCCCGCCUGUUUACCAAAAACAUCACCUCUAGCAUUUCCAGUAUUAGAGGCACUGCCUGCCCAGUGACAUUCGUUAAACGGCCGCGGUAUCCUGACCGUGCAAAGGUAGCAUAAUCACUUGUUCUCUAAAUAAGGACUCGUAUGAAUGGCCACACGAGGGUUUUACUGUCUCUUACUUCCAAUCCGUGAAAUUGACCUUCCCGUGAAGAGGCGGGAAUACAAAAAUAAGACGAGAAGACCCUAUGGAGCUUUAAUUAAUUGAUCCAAAGAGACUAAUUUACACCGACAGGAAUAACAAACCUCUAAAUGGGUCAACAAUUUAGGUUGGGGUGACCUCGGAGUACAAAAUAACCUCCGAAUGAUUUAAAUCAAGACUUACCAGUCAAAAGUAUUACAUCACUUAUUGAUCCAAAAACAUUUGAUCAACGGAACAAGUUACCCUAGGGAUAACAGCGCAAUCCUAUUCUAGAGUCCAUAUCGACAAUAGGGUUUACGACCUCGAUGUUGGAUCAGGACAUCCCGAUGGUGCAGCAGCUAUCAAAGGUUCGUUUGUUCAACGAUUAAAGUCCUACGUGAUCUGAGUUCAGACCGGAGCAAUCCAGGUCGGUUUCUAUCUAUUAAACAAUUUCUCCCAGUACGAAAGGACAAGAGAAAUAAGGCCAACUUCACCAAAGCGCCUUCAACCCAAUAGAUGAUAUAAUCUUAAUCUAAACAGUUUCAUCAACAUACCUGCCCGAGAACUCGGGCUC
This 1570-nucleotide ribosomal RNA is filed under the name Genetta abyssinica. Its description in RNAcentral is "16S ribosomal RNA". It matches the Rfam family "Bacterial large subunit ribosomal RNA", at positions 426 to 2854 of the family's 2925-position model. The record is from RNAcentral. Lineage: Eukaryota; Metazoa; Chordata; Mammalia; Carnivora; Viverridae.